AGAUUAAGUUAUUAAGGGCGCACGGUGGAUGCCUUGGCACUAGAAGCCGAUGAAGGACGUUACUAACGACGAUAUGCUUUGGGGAGCUGUAAGUAAGCUUUGAUCCAGAGAUUUCCGAAUGGGGAAACCCAGCAUGAGUUAUGUCAUGUUAUCGAUAUGUGAAUACAUAGCAUAUCAGAAGGCACACCCGGAGAACUGAAACAUCUUAGUACCCGGAGGAAGAGAAAGAAAAUUCGAUUCCCUUAGUAGCGGCGAGCGAAACGGGAAGAGCCCAAACCAACAAGCUUGCUUGUUGGGGUUGUAGGACACUCUAUACGGAGUUACAAAGGACGACAUUAGACGAAUCAUCUGGAAAGAUGAAUCAAAGAAGGUAAUAAUCCUGUAGUCGAAAAUGUUGUCUCUCUUGAGUGGAUCCUGAGUACGACGGAGCACGUGAAAUUCCGUCGGAAUCUGGGAGGACCAUCUCCUAAGGCUAAAUACUCUCUAGUGACCGAUAGUGAACCAGUACCGUGAGGGAAAGGUGAAAAGCACCCCGGAAGGGGAGUGAAAUAGAACCUGAAACCGUGUGCUUACAAGUAGUCAGAGCCCGUUAAUGGGUGAUGGCGUGCCUUUUGUAGAAUGAACCGGCGAGUUACGAUUUGAUGCAAGGUUAAGCAGUAAAUGUGGAGCCGUAGCGAAAGCGAGUCUGAAUAGGGCGUUUAGUAUUUGGUCGUAGACCCGAAACCAGGUGAUCUACCCUUGGUCAGGUUGAAGUUCAGGUAACACUGAAUGGAGGACCGAACCGACUUACGUUGAAAAGUGAGCGGAUGAACUGAGGGUAGCGGAGAAAUUCCAAUCGAACCUGGAGAUAGCUGGUUCUCUCCGAAAUAGCUUUAGGGCUAGCCUCAAGUGAUGAUUAUUGGAGGUAGAGCACUGUUUGGACGAGGGGCCCCUCUCGGGUUACCGAAUUCAGACAAACUCCGAAUGCCAAUUAAUUUAACUUGGGAGUCAGAACAUGGGUGAUAAGGUCCGUGUUCGAAAGGGAAACAGCCCAGACCACCAGCUAAGGUCCCAAAAUAUAUGUUAAGUGGAAAAGGAUGUGGCGUUGCCCAGACAACUAGGAUGUUGGCUUAGAAGCAGCCAUCAUUUAAAGAGUGCGUAAUAGCUCACUAGUCGAGUGACACUGCGCCGAAAAUGUACCGGGGCUAAACAUAUUACCGAAGCUGUGGAUUGUCCUUUGGACAAUGGUAGGAGAGCGUUCUAAGGGCGUUGAAGCAUGAUCGUAAGGACAUGUGGAGCGCUUAGAAGUGAGAAUGCCGGUGUGAGUAGCGAAAGACGGGUGAGAAUCCCGUCCACCGAUUGACUAAGGUUUCCAGAGGAAGGCUCGUCCGCUCUGGGUUAGUCGGGUCCUAAGCUGAGGCCGACAGGCGUAGGCGAUGGAUAACAGGUUGAUAUUCCUGUACCACCUAUAAUCGUUUUAAUCGAUGGGGGGACGCAGUAGGAUAGGCGAAGCGUGCGAUUGGAUUGCACGUCUAAGCAGUAAGGCUGAGUAUUAGGCAAAUCCGGUACUCGUUAAGGCUGAGCUGUGAUGGGGAGAAGACAUUGUGUCUUCGAGUCGUUGAUUUCACACUGCCGAGAAAAGCCUCUAGAUAGAAAAUAGGUGCCCGUACCGCAAACCGACACAGGUAGUCAAGAUGAGAAUUCUAAGGUGAGCGAGCGAACUCUCGUUAAGGAACUCGGCAAAAUGACCCCGUAACUUCGGGAGAAGGGGUGCUCUUUAGGGUUAACGCCCAGAAGAGCCGCAGUGAAUAGGCCCAAGCGACUGUUUAUCAAAAACACAGGUCUCUGCUAAACCGUAAGGUGAUGUAUAGGGGCUGACGCCUGCCCGGUGCUGGAAGGUUAAGAGGAGUGGUUAGCUUCUGCGAAGCUACGAAUCGAAGCCCCAGUAAACGGCGGCCGUAACUAUAACGGUCCUAAGGUAGCGAAAUUCCUUGUCGGGUAAGUUCCGACCCGCACGAAAGGCGUAACGAUUUGGGCACUGUCUCAACGAGAGACUCGGUGAAAUCAUAGUACCUGUGAAGAUGCAGGUUACCCGCGACAGGACGGAAAGACCCCGUGGAGCUUUACUGUAGCCUGAUAUUGAAAUUCGGCACAGCUUGUACAGGAUAGGUAGGAGCCUUUGAAACGUGAGCGCUAGCUUACGUGGAGGCGCUGGUGGGAUACUACCCUAGCUGUGUUGGCUUUCUAACC
This 2229-nucleotide ribosomal RNA is filed under the name Staphylococcus aureus. Its description in RNAcentral is "partial 23S ribosomal RNA". It matches the Rfam family "Bacterial large subunit ribosomal RNA", at positions 1 to 2227 of the family's 2925-position model. Lineage: Bacteria; Bacillati; Bacillota; Bacilli; Caryophanales; Staphylococcaceae. The record is from RNAcentral.